AGUGAACGCUGGCGGUAGGCCUAACACAUGCAAGUCGAACGGCAGCACAGUAAGAGCUUGCUCUUACGGGUGGCGAGUGGCGGACGGGUGAGGAAUGCAUCGGAAUCUACUUUUUCGUGGGGGAUAACGUAGGGAAACUUACGCUAAUACCGCAUACGACCUACGGGUGAAAGCAGGGGAUCUUCGGACCUUGCGCGAUUGAAUGAGCCGAUGUCGGAUUAGCUAGUUGGCGGGGUAAAGGCCCACCAAGGCGACGAUCCGUAGCUGGUCUGAGAGGAUGAUCAGCCACACUGGAACUGAGACACGGUCCAGACUCCUACGGGAGGCAGCGGUGGGGAAUAUUGGACAAUGGGCGCAAGCCUGAUCCAGCCAUACCGCGUGGGUGAAGAAGGCCUUCGGGUUGUAAAGCCCUUUUGUUGGGAAAGAAAAGCAGCAGGUUAAUACCCCGCUGUUCUGACGGUACCCAAAGAAUAAGCACCGGCUAACUUCGUG
RNAcentral lists this ribosomal RNA (492 nucleotides) under uncultured bacterium. Its description in RNAcentral is "partial 16S ribosomal RNA". It matches the Rfam family "Bacterial small subunit ribosomal RNA", at positions 29 to 507 of the family's 1533-position model. The record is from RNAcentral.